UAAUCACCUGUCUAUUAAUUGUAGACCCGUAUGAAUGGCAAAAUGAGGAUCUAACUGUCUCUUAUAGUAAGUCAAUUAAACUGAUCUCCCAGUCCAAAAGCUGGAAUAUAAACAUAAGACCAGAAGACCCUGUGAAGCUUAAACUAAACUAUUAAAUCGCAUAAUACCUCCUUUCGGUUGGGGCGACCUUGGAAACAAAAAGAACUUCCACAUACAUAACAUUCACAACAACACAGGCAAACAAGCCAAAAAAGACCCAGCACAGCUGAUUAUUGAACCAAGUUACUCCAGGGAUAACAGCGCCAUCUUCUUCAAGAGCCCAUAUCAAAAAGAAGGUUUACGACCUCGAUGUUGGAUCAGGACAUCCUAAUGGUGCAGCCGCUAUUAAGGGUU
This 393-nucleotide ribosomal RNA is filed under the name Limaformosa capensis (Cape file snake). Its description in RNAcentral is "partial 16S ribosomal RNA". It matches the Rfam family "Bacterial large subunit ribosomal RNA", at positions 1962 to 2573 of the family's 2925-position model. Lineage: Eukaryota; Metazoa; Chordata; Lepidosauria; Squamata; Lamprophiidae. The record is from RNAcentral.